RNA transcript from Dermacentor andersoni, 9286 nucleotides. RefSeq lists it as uncharacterized. The record is from RefSeq and is a predicted model, not a curated record. Lineage: Eukaryota; Metazoa; Arthropoda; Arachnida; Ixodida; Ixodidae.
UGGUAUUGAGCCAUUGAGCUCUAGCCAGCAUUUGUCGCCUCUCGCGAGUUGUUGCGGUCGCCUAUCGUCACGACUCAUUUGCGGGUUUGUAUGCCCGCUUUUUUUUUUUUUAAGGAAUUCGCUCGGGAUAUUACUUUUUCCAGGAAUUCUUCUGUUCAAGGUUUCGUGGCUAAACGUCUGACGCUGACAGCAGAAGCUAACGGUUGCUGCCGGGUUUCAGAGCAAGACUUAUCAAGCGAUCCCCCUGAGGUGGCAGCUUGGUACUGCACGAAGUCUCGACCAAUGCGCAUUUAUUUCCAGUCACUUUGAAGGCACCCACAAGCUCCUUUAGGAUAAGGGAGCACGAGACUUCCCAAUGGAGUUCGACCUCAAGGAAACUGUGGGCGUGUCACACGGCCAAUAACCAAUUUUGAAAAGGAGCCGCCGGAGGCGCAUUCAUUGGUAUUUGAUUUUUGUAGAAUUACAAGAAUGUAACUUCCAAUUAAGCUCGUAGCUAUUAUAAUUAACACUCCUUCCAUAAAAAUUGAUUCAAUAUAUUUGAUGUGGAAAACAUACCUCAUUAAAAAUCGGUGUGCUCACUAAACAUAGCAGUGCUGACAGCGACACUAGCCACCCUGUGCUUUCCAUUACGGCAUGGCGAGUAGGCUCUGCAUUCUGCUACCCGAACUGCUGCAAACUAUACUAAAACACAUAAUUUCGUGCACGGUGACCUCGUCAGCUUUCCUUUUGUCUACUGUGCCAAUGUCACUCGACCACACCUACCAUUGCAUGGCUGGCACGACAAAGGCUACGUUUACAUAAACCGGACGCGAGUGGGUGAAGUCUGAAUUCGGGAUGACCGAGCCUGAUGUGACAGUGUUUACAUGAACUGCUUCUGAAUGACGAAUCGGGACUCGACGGCAAACAGCGUCGAGCCGAGACAACACGUUCGAACUAGGCUUCUGGUUCCAGCUGCCAUCUGCAACAGCUCUAUUUUCAUAGGUCUUUUUACGAAGAGGUUGUACGGCACAGUGCUUGUCUUGGCCUCGUCCUGAUGCUAUUCCCACUGCCGGCGCCUAGAUAGUGAUGUCACGGUGCUCCCGUGCAAGUCUCGGUGCUGGUGGGCUCGAUCUGUCUGCGUGCACAUGCAUGCUGCAAACUGGUCUGAUUGGGUCAGCCUACCCCAUAUAGUCGGGCUGACUGCGCCCGACUUUACACUUGUUCAGCCCAACUGGCUAGUGUUUACAUGAACUCGACAGGCAUACUCCAGCCGAACAAGCUGACUCGACCCAAUUCUGUAGGGUUCAUGUAAAUGCUCUGAAAGACUAGAAAAACAUGGUGCCAAGCGGCCUAAGUGGGCAUUAUUGUGCAGCAACAAGCAUAACUGUUGCUGAAUUGUGCUUCAGCUUUCAUUUACUUCAAUAGAAAUGUCCUAACACACGCAACAUUACUUUUAAUGCAAACAAUAAUUAAAUUCUCAGUUCCACAACAAGUAUGAACAAGUAUGGGACGUCACGGGAUCGAAUUUCAGCCACAGUGGCCGCAUUUCAGUGGAGGUAAAAUGUGAAAACACUCAUUGACUUAGAUUUAAGUGCAUGUUAUAGAAUCCCUGGUGGUCCAAAUUAUUCCUGCUUCCCCCACUACUGCAUGCCUCAUAAAUCGAGGUUUUGGCCUGUAAAACCCCAUAAUUCUUUUAAGCGAGAGUACUCCCCUCAGCUGCCAAAGGAGAGUGCCAAUCUCCCUCGACCAAAAGCUUAAUUAAACUUUCUUAGCUGAUGGGCGACCAUGUGACACUGAGUGCAUCUCCCUCAACAUAACGACGACAGAGUUAAAAGGAGGUUGUGGGUGCCUGUGUGACAGGUGUAUCAAGCUCUUGCUGAGUGUAUUUAUGCAUGCACAAUAGAGGUGGCUGCGUGUAACUCAACGGUACAUUAGAUUUUUCAUGCUUGUCAGCUACACAGUUCAUUACAAAGGUUUUACACAGCAACAGCCUUGGUUUGAAAGCCUGGCUGAAUUUUCUUUGAAGCAUCUGAUCAGCUCAAGCUGCUAUAAUUUUGGACUGUAGUGUAUUGGAUUCUUAAGUUGGAUAAGUGCUACAACAGUUCACACACUUCUGUGUUGCAAUACCAAGGAAUUGAUUUAAUGUCCUGGCAUGCAUGCUAAUUAGUGCAGGUUAUGGUGUGACCCCUUGCAGAAUUGAACUGCAAGAAGUUCAGUGUUUAACAUUGUACCUUGUUUUUCUAGUAACGUAAGUUGGACAGCUUCUUGUUAUACACUCUCUUUGGCCAAUUGCACUAUAUGUACAGCUCCUGCAGAUAUAUAAAAAGGGCACACUGGACUUUCCACAAGUGAACUUCACUGCACCAGGUCGCAUGGAAAAUGACACCACAAUUCCUGGACAGACCAGUUCGGAUGUCAUGUUCUUGACAGCAGUAUUUCCAACCACAAAUGUAAAGCAUUGUGUUGCAAUCCCCUUCUCUCCCCCCUGAAUUUCUGGGGUGCUGUAGACUUCCACAUAUUUGUGAAUGAAAAUUUUUUGGACUGCUUGUCUGAGGCAGGCUGAAGCAAACACUGAAGCUUCUCAUAUUUUUGGUGGUAUGCCUUGGUGUAGUACUGUAAUGGAAUUGUGAACUACAUGUCUGACGAAAGCAGUGCUGAUUACAACUUUUCAUGCUGUGUUCAGCAUAGUAUUUUGAUAUGGUUCAUGUGUUGAGCUUUCUUUUAAAAAAGAAAUACAAAACUACUUUCAUAAUUAUGUUGCUGUCAGAAUGCUUAUGCCUGCUGAUAAGUGGAAUACCAUCUGUAGUUGCGAAAGCUUUAGUUAAGUGUUAAAAGAUGCAUCAACUGCUGCUGCUUGUCGAUGUCUUCGAGUACAAAUCUAUGCUGUAUGUAAACUGUUGUUGCAGCACUGUUCAGUUCAUCAGCAAAGAAUAAAGAAGCCCAACUCAAUUCUAUUUAAGAUGCUGCUGUGGAGCUGCAAAGUGCUUGGCACACUUUUUCCAGAUUUAACUAGAAAGCAUCCGUUUUUUUUUUUUUUGUCGCAACGCUGUAGUCAGUGUGGCUGCUGUGCUGGAAGAAAAACGGGAAACCUCGGCAUGGAGCCAAUGUACUGACAAAGCGACUUGUCUUCAGCACAGUAUGGUUUCUUGAAAACGGAACAGAAUUUUCACACUAUUUCGCUGUACCAUUAGUUCUACAACUUGCACACUGUCUCCCUGGGCACUUCUGCCGAGUUGCUAGCAGUGUAUUAGUUGUACAAAAGAGGGUGCCAUGGCCUUAAAUACAAAAGUCCUGGCAAUACCUGCUGGUUGUUCAGAAAAGAAUUCCAGGAAAAUUGCGAAGUCCAAGGAGCAUUGUGCAGCAUACACAUCUUUCAUGCACUUCGUCACUUGUUCUGGCUCUUUGGCUAAUCCUAAGAGUUUCAGAAAUGCUCAUCAGUGCCCUGAAAUAUUCUCUAGACUCCAUCCACUCUUGUCAAAAGGACAGACUCGCCUCUGUGAUGUUUUAGAACAUUCACAUUUUCCCCUCUUGCCAAGUGUGCAAAAGACUGUUGGCUACUGCAUGUUUUUUGUGAUGCACAAAAGUAUGCAGAAUGCGAGGUGGUAUCAUCGCUUGGUGAUUAGUUUUCCUCCCCAAGUUUUCUUACUGCACUGGUCUUGCAAAGCCAGUUUCAUAACUGCUGCUUUAUAGUGUUCUUUGCUAUGAGAAAAAUUUGCGUUUUCAAUAUCCCCAAUAAUCUGAAAAGCAAACAUAGGUAUGGGAUCUUGUAAAUCAGUGCUGGUAAAGCUUGUACUACUAGCAAAUUUUGUUUCAUAGGUAUUUGAAAGUAUAAAUGUCCUUGUGGAAACACUUUGUGAUAUAACUGUUCUGUUAGCCAAUAUAUAGGGUGUUACAGCUAACGUUAGCCAAGCUGUUCAACGAAACAAAUUAUUAAAUAAACACGGUGCAAGAUGCAACUUUAAAGGGUCCCUGAAAUGGUUAGGACAAAUUUUGUAGGUGCAUAGGGUACAGCUACAGUAAAGCAUUAGCACCACAAUUUAAGUGAAGUGUCUGAUAUUAAGAGAGCUCAACUCCUCCUCAACUCGUUUGCCGAGUGAUUGGCAGUAAGCUCCGCCUUCACUGGAUCUGCAUCUUGAUGUGACAUUGCGUCGUCUACUUGCUGUUGCCUUGGAGCCAGCGCGCGAAGCCUCUCCAACCUCUCCGCUAGCAGCAUGGCUGUCGAUCCCCCGUGAGAGCUAUCCAAGCAGCAUGUGUUGCGAGUGUUCUAUCGCAGUGCUGAGCGUGUCUGGUUUUCCGGUAACUGCAGGCGAGGUUGGUGUUUUGGUGGAUGGGCGAAGGCGUAAACUAAGCUCCUCCACUCUACUACCGCUGUGAUAAAGGGGUUUUAGCGUAAAUGUGAGCAGCCUGCAAGGUGUAGCCACCUGGUGGUGCAGAGCUUAACCAGCAAAACACAGCUACCAUUGCUGUAAACAAGUGUAAAGCAUUUUAAACAUUUAAAAAGACAUGUUUGCAAUUAUGUUCCUGCUGAAAUUUUACCCCAUCAGCAAAAUAGAGUACACUUGGUUACUGCUAUAUUAGCUCUGUGGGUUUUCUGGUUGAGCUCUGCGCUACCAAGUGGCUGCACCGUGCUGGUCGUUCAUGUUUGUGCCUCCGCUUACCUGCUAAAAUGCCCAGUUCGCAUGCACCUGAAUACCGGACACUGAAACUCUAUAUUGUGGUAAUCCUCCAGCGUGAAGUGACAGCCACAAGCGCGCAAAACCUGGUGCCAAUCCCGGCCACGGUGGCCGCAUUUUGAUGGGGGCGAAAUGCGAAAACACCCGUGUAAUUAUAUUCAGGUGCACGUUAAAGAACCCCAGGUGGUCGAAAUUUCCGGAGUCCUUCACUACGGCGUGCCUCAUAAUCAGAAAGUGGUUUUGGCACGUAAAACCCCAUAAUUUAAUUUUUUUUUAACCUGGUGCCAAUCGGUUAGCGACAGUCUAAUGCGCUGCAGCCACUCUGCUCGUUAGCUGCUUUGCAGAGGGACACUAUGUCGCAGCAUGGCAUAUCGCUGAUCACUGUCUGCAGCCCACAAUGCAACAAGGGCGAACCGUGGUGCUCGCGAAAAGAAAGCUCGAGAGCAACACUGACUGUGCAGGUUGCGUCAGCAUGGAGCGCACUGGAACACAAGCAGACACUUGCUGCGUGCUGGAAGUGUUCGAGUGUAGUGAUGAAUUGUAGUUAUUCUUUUUCUGCAACUUUUUUUAUAGAAACAAAUUAAACAACAUUGCAGCUAUUGCGAACAUUGUUCACCAUAAAGUUGGAAAAGUGAUAGAUGACGUGACCUAGGUAGCCAAUUGGAUAGCUUGUCCAACUGAUGUUAGUUGAGCCAAAUGCGUCAAUUGGGUUGGUGUGGCUGAAUACACAGGGGAGCGGCGCUGCUGCGAUGGGUAGUGAUGGCACACUUUUAAAGCCUUAUAAUAAAUUACAAGCUUUUUGCGGAGUGCUUAAAUAUGUCAGUGAUCAGAAGAACCCAUCCUAAAGACUCUAUGUUUCUACAAAAUCAACAUUUUUUCAGGUUUACUUUAAUACCUUCAGUGUUCAGUUGUCUGGACACUGAACAUCAUAGGUCUUACAAUUUAAUCUUGCACCUUGAUUUUAUUUAAAUUUUUUUUCAUUGACCUGCAUGGCUAACAUUAGCUGGAACACACGGUAUAUUUUCUUGGAGGCGGCCAAAGUAAUGCUGCUGUGGAGCAUGAUAUGGUGUUUACUAUCAUUAAGCAUACUGCUGCCUUACAGUAGGCUUGUAAUGAGCCUUACAAAAGGCAGCUUGGAUGAGAUUGUCUCUUGGAUGAUAGACUGAGCUCCAAUGCGACACCAUAUAAUGUAAUCUUGCUAAAAUUUAUUAAAAAGGAUUUAUAAUGGAUAAUGAUUGAUUGAUGCCUACGAAAUGUAACAUAUAGUCUACAGAAAAAGAAAUUUGACAUCAGGGGAGGAAAGAAGAAACAUUGCAAACUUUGAUUCACACUAUUUGCCUUUAAGUGUACAAAUGGCCUGGUGGAGGUAGUAUGCCUUCUGUACAGGUGCCUUUAAUAAAAUCAGCAAAACUCGCCAAAUGCUCGCCUUCACACUACCAGUUUCAUUCAUACAAGGCACACUUGCGAGCAGAAGUUUGGAGACCACGGAUGCUACAAAAUUUUUUUGCAUUUCAGCCUAGGCAUGCAGGCUGAAAUCAAGUGGUAUAACCUAUGUAUACCUGUUUGAUCAAUGAAGUGCACUGAGCCAGUUCCACAUUGCGUGUCUGCGCUAGAAAUUAAAAUGUCUUGCUUAUGCUGUGGUUUCUUAAACUUUAGCUUGCGAGCGUACAAUGGAGACGAGGCCAACACAUUAGCCUGACUUUAUGGCUGCAAGAACUGUUGCAUAACCAACCAUAUAACAUGUAGGCACUCGGAAGAUAAGAGUUAUCUGCCAUAUAAGUUGAUGUUAUGAAAGUGCUGCCUGUGGCGAUGAUUUACUGGACUUCAAUAGUUUUUAUACGCGAGAAUUCGUUUGGCUACCCUACCCUGAUUUGGUCUAUGAGGAAUCGAACCAGGGCCUGCGGAGUGCGGUAAGCGAGUACCUAUCCUUGGCAGCAUGCCAACAGAUGAGAAGGGAGCGCAGAAUAUGUGCGAUAGUAAAGCGAAAGAGCACCACCACUGUUGUGCUGUCACAAUAUCGUCAUGCAUGCGCAGCUUGCAUGUGGAGGGUUAGGAGGGUAGGGUAGAAUUUAGACAGUCAUUGUAGAUUGGUUCUGCCGGAAAUUUUUCAUUAGUGGCUUACUUGCCAUUUGCAUGUGCUGUUUCUUGCCUUGUAUUUAAUAACUUUUGGAAUGUAGGUGAAAGGAUGAAGCAGUUCAUGUCAACAUUGUCAAGAGACUUGAAGUACUUUAAUUGCAAGCAUUGCACCAGGCCAAUUUGUGAAUGCUUUGGAUCACUCGUUGCGUGGUUGUCAUUGCUGCACAUCAAAGGGGCUAGCAGUGACCGCUCAGACAGAGGAUGCGCAACACUAAUUAUGUGUUUAAUUGGUUUUGAUGUCGCAGUAGUGGGAAGAAGGAUACGUUCAGUGGGAAUGGUUGCAAGACAACACAUAAAUUUGGUGGGUGUUUAGUAUGUUGCGUUUUCUGCACCUUGUUACAAUAGCUAAUGCCCAAUGUGAAGGACGGCAGAGGAGUCUGUUAUGGCACUUUGACACAUUCCAGUUUCCUCUUUGCUUAAUAAAUGUUUGAAACAUUACAGCAUCCUUGAGCAGCAAGGUGCAUUUACAAAAACUUGGUUGUAUAGUGUGCACCUGGUGACCUGUGCACAUGCACGAAUGAUUUGAGUUCAAAUUUAUAUUAACUGCCACUCAUGUUUGAAGCCAAGUGAGCUUCAUUUGUAGCAAAGCAGAAAAUUCAUGCAUAGCCAUAGCAAGAAACUUUGCAGGACCUACUUCUUAGAGCAGGUAUGCAUUAAUUUUGAAGCUAGUAAUAGAAAUUUUAUAUUGCUGUGAUGGCAAGAAUGCAGGAUGUAUGUGGAUCCAAAAGGGGUGAAGGAGCGACAUAGGUCUGAUUUCAAGACCUUGGAUAAGGAAAGUGGCAUGCUGAUGCAAGAUCGCUGUGUGCCCUAAACAUUUUUUCUUGCUAGGAAAGGUAAAUGGAACUGCUUCAUUGUAAGAAUCGCACAGUAUAUAUCCUUGCCUAUGUUUGAAUCGCACAAUUCUUCGUUUCAUAUGUAGCAGGCAGCAUUACAAAGGCUAGAUGCUAGACACACUUCUCUCUCAGUAUGCAUUCAUAACAACAACAAAAAAAAUAGUGCAUCACAUAUGAACGGUGUAGGUACACAUCAUGUAGUUUGAUACAACAUUAAAAGCUUGUACUCAAAUGCUGCAAUAUAUGACAUUACAUAAAGGGCAUUGUGGAUGCGAACCUACUUAACGCCGAAUGAGCAGAGUGGAAUGUUUCUGCGGCCAGUGGCCACAGUGCAUGGCUUGUGCUUGUGACCAAACAUGGUGCUCUGCAUACUACAAACCACAAAGGUGCAACAGAUAUGUGGAUAACAUUGUUUUUUGGCCACAUGUUCAAAUAUCUGUAGUUGGGUGCAGGUCAAAAAUAACUGCACACAGAAACGUGUGGAGAGAAACCUUGAUUGCCACACUACGUGCACAGCUUCCACGGCAUUGCCUGCUAAGCAUUAAGCGCAGUAUAAAUAGGUCGCUUUAUUUCUCAACUUUCUCUGCGUUGGUUUUUUAUAAAGUGACUGCAGAGAAAAUGCGUACUGACACAAAAUUGUUUUGUCUUUUGCUUUAUGAAUAGCUGUGGGCCUAAUAAUGGAAUGGGUCACUUGCUACUGUGCAUCUUAUAAUAAAUGAUGUUUAUAUUGUAACCAGAUUUUUUUCUUUCUUUGAUGUAGAAUGAGUGCAACCUCCUUUAUGGCUGGUUUAAACGCCCUUUGAAGUAAUCAUAUCUGGUGGUAAUCACGAAGUGCCAGGGACAUGCCAAUUUCAGCAUUCAUCUGUUCGACACAUGCAUACCAUCGUCGUCCAAAUAAUCGUCACCAUUAUUGGCACAAAUUAAUCCAACUUGGUGUUGUUGAGGCUCCACAUGGGGAAACAAGAGGGCUACUGUGGUGUACGUGGAUGCAAUUAUGCUUUGCACCAUCAUCACAACAUGGUGGUCAUUUUCAACAUGGAUGAUGUGCAAGCACGCUGUACGUAAUGCAACCAGUGUUAAUAUGCUGCUUUAAUAUACCAUAAUUUUCUCUGCCACUGGCGAGCUAAUCCACAUAUGCACUUAGUAGGGUUGUAGCAGAUAAGCUAGCAUGCAGUAAGCUUGUAAGUAGUUGGGAUAAUGUUAAAAUAGUUUCAGUACGCUCAGCCACCUUAAUCUCGUGAAUAUGCACAUUGUGGGGAACACCACAGUGCAAGUGAGCAGCCUAGCAUAGAAUUGUCAUAGGAGCAUCUCCUACCUUUGUACUUAGUGCAAGUAUUAGUGAUGUCAACAGCUUUAGCUUAAGGUCCGCAGCUGCAGGCCACAUGUUGAUGUCUGCCAUGGGUUGCUACAGCUUGUAAAUGGCUGCUGGCCUGUGGUCUUUAUGAUAAUAUAUAAUGGUGGCAACAUUUGCCAUAAAUACUUAGUCGGAGAUAUGCAUAUAUGCACGGUAAUUGAAUAUCACAAUCAUCUGAUGGUUGUAAUUUUGUGUGUACUCCUUCAAAGGCAAACUUUCCCUUGAAUUUCGUGUCCACAUUGUGACUACAGUAACUUCGCGUGGUUCUUGGCAUUUUCGCAUACUUGAGCUAUUCGUGAAAAAAAAAAGAA